GUGCAUUGUAGUUGCAUUGCAUGUGCAGCCAGAGAUGUGCAAUGCCCCUCCAAUGCAGCC
Molecule: microRNA precursor, 60 nt
Filed under: Gekko japonicus
Lineage: Eukaryota; Metazoa; Chordata; Lepidosauria; Squamata; Gekkonidae
Description: Gja-Mir-33-P1_pre stem-loop
Rfam family: mir-33 microRNA precursor family
Source: RNAcentral